Molecule: ribosomal RNA, 1496 nt
Filed under: Plasmodium inui
Lineage: Eukaryota; Apicomplexa; Aconoidasida; Haemosporida; Plasmodiidae
Description: SSU rRNA
Rfam family: Eukaryotic small subunit ribosomal RNA
Source: RNAcentral
AGCUAAUACUUGCUUUAGCACUCUUGAUUAAGUUCUUGAGUGUGUACUUGUUAAGCCUUUUAAGAAAAAAGUUAUUAACUUAAGGAAUUAUAACAAAGAAGUAACACGUAAUGGAUCCGUCCAUUUUUAGUGUGUAUCAAUCGAGUUUCUGACCUAUCAGCUUUUGAUGUUAGGGUAUUGGCCUAACAUGGCUAUGACGGGUAACGGGGAAUUAGAGUUCGAUUCCGGAGAGGGAGCCUGAGAAAUAGCUACCACAUCUAAGGAAGGCAGCAGGCGCGUAAAUUACCCAAUUCUAAAGAAGAGAGGUAGUGACAAGAAAUAACAAUACAAGGCCAAUCUGGCUUUGUAAUUGGAAUGAUGGGAAUUUAAAACCUUCCCAAAACUCAAUUGGAGGGCAAGUCUGGUGCCAGCAGCCGCGGUAAUUCCAGCUCCAAUAGCGUAUAUUAAAAUUGUUGCAGUUAAAACGCUCGUAGUUGAAUUUCAAAGAAUCGAUAUUUUAAGUAGCACUUUGUAGAUUAAUCCACAUAACUGAUACUACGUAUCGACUUUGUGCGCAUUUUUCUACUUACGUGUUCUUUUAAUUAAAAUGAUUCUUUUUAAGAUCUUUCUUUUUUGCUUCGGCAUUUUAGGAGAUCUUGUUACUUUGAGUAAAUUAGAGUGUUCAAAGCAAACAGAUUAUAGCAUCUUUAUGCGUUUGAAUACUACAGCAUGGAAUAACAAAAUUGAACAAGUCAGAAUUUUGUUCUUUUUUCUUAUUUUGGCUUAGUUACGAUUAAUAGGAGUAGCUUGGGGGCAUUUGUAUUCAGAUGUCAGAGGUGAAAUUCUUAGAUUUUCUGGAGACAAACAACUGCGAAAGCAUUUGCCUAAAAUACUUCCAUUAAUCAAGAACGAAAGUUAAGGGAGUGAAGACGAUCAGAUACCGUCGUAAUCUUAACCAUAAACUAUGCCGACUAGGCUUUGGAUGAAAGAUUUUAAAAUAAGAGUUUUUUCUCUGAGGAGUUAAAACUCUUAGAUUGCUUCCUUCAGCGCCUUAUGAGAAAUCAAAGUCUUUGGGUUCUGGGGCGAGUAUUCGCGCAAGCGAGAAAGUUAAAAGAAUUGACGGAAGGGCACCACCAGGCGUGGAGCUUGCGGCUUAAUUUGACUCAACACGGGAAAACUCACUAGUUUAAGACAAGAGUAGGAUUGACAGAUUAAUAGCUCUUUCUUGAUUUCUUGGAUGGUGAUGCAUGGCCGUUUUUAGUUCGUGAAUAUGAUUUGUCUGGUUAAUUCCGAUAACGAACGAGAUCUUAACCUGCUAAUUAGCGGCAAAUACGAUAUAUUCUUAUGUGGAAUUGAAUAUAGUUGAUUUGCUUAUUUUGAAGAAAAUAUUGGGAUACGUAAAUGUAUCCCUUUCCCUUUUCUACUUAAUUUGCUUAUCAUACUAUUUCUUUUUUGCGUAAGAAUGUAUUUGCUUGAUUGUAAAGCUUCUUAGAGGAACGAUGUGUGUCUAACACAAG